Cucumis melo (muskmelon) is the source of this 1134-nucleotide long non-coding RNA. RefSeq lists it as uncharacterized. The record is from RefSeq and is a predicted model, not a curated record. The transcript has 5 exons. Lineage: Eukaryota; Viridiplantae; Streptophyta; Magnoliopsida; Cucurbitales; Cucurbitaceae.
CCUUGGUAGCGAAGGGUCAUCAUACACCAGUCUCAUCUUCUCUUAUAAUCCACUAAUGUCGCGAAAAGGUUAUGCAAACCUUACCGAAGAGACGAAAGCAAGUGCAUCUAGUGGUGGGUUAAUUGAUCGUGCUUUAGUAUGGGAGAAUGCACAAACAACUAAAGAUGGAGAGAUUCCAAACAUAGACACAAAGGAGGACAACCUAUUUGUUUCAAAAUGUGCUACUCAUUCAACAGAAGAUGUAACUUCUGACAUACUAUCGCAAGCCAUAGGAGGGAAUGAUCCACCAGGAAGGAUUAGAGGGGUGGAUCAAUAUGUCACACCGAGUAAAUACUUCCACAAUACAAGAGAGAAAUGAAAGGUCAAUAAAGAAGAAGAUUAUGAUGAAGAGUGAGCGAGAAUGGUUGCUCGUAUCUUAGAAUUGAAAGGGGAAUUAAUGAACCAUAAGAGGGUUCUUAAAGUGGCCACAAAGGGAGAAACUAUUGACGAGAGCAAGAUCAAGAGUCAAAUGGCUUCUAAAAGCAUUGACACGUCAGAUGAUGCGAAUGAUCAUGACACAGAAGAAGAAAAUAAACAGGUUCUAGAAGAAGAAGUUGAAAUAGAGGACUUGACAAUAAAAAAUUAAGAUAAGCGAAGGUUGGUGACGAGAAUAAAGAUGUUUAUGCAUUAAUUGGGACUUUGACAAAUGUGAAGGAUGGAACUUCUUGUCGACUUGCGAUUGGGACAAAGGAUAAUGUCGUCGGUGCUGGAAAUGCUUUCGACUACCACAUUAACGGUGACAACGUGAAGGUAUCAGUGGACAUGGUUGUCGAUCGUAAUUGCUUCGUCCUUGUUCCAACAAAGGAAGAUAUGACUGCGCUUUCCCAAGAAGUCGGUUCAUAGUUGUUACGGCCUCGUCAUUUUGUCACUCCUUUAGACGAGAAGGUAAUGUGUUUUUAACAGAUGGAUUUAGUUUAAAUAUAUUUCAUAUGGAUGACAUUUUAUGUUUGUGAUAGAUGAAAAGCAUGUACCAAGCUGAUCCGCCAUUACCGUUGUUGACACUGAAUACAAAGAGAGCACCAGUUACACUACGAUUAUUGCUAUGGGAACUUGAUUAUAUUGGGUCGAAGAUUCAAAUUCACGAACCUGCUAAUG